This 252-nucleotide ribosomal RNA is filed under the name uncultured bacterium. RNAcentral describes it as "partial 16S ribosomal RNA". It matches the Rfam family "Bacterial small subunit ribosomal RNA", at positions 524 to 776 of the family's 1533-position model. The record is from RNAcentral.
UACGAAGGGGGCUAGCGUUGCUCGGAAUUACUGGGCGUAAAGGGCGCGUAGGCGGGCCAUCAAGUCAGGGGUGAAAUCCUCCGGCUCAACCGGAGAACAGCUUCUGAUACUGGUGGUCUCGAGGGGGUAGGGGCAUGUGGAACUUCCGGUGGAGCGGUGAAAUGCGUAGAUAUCGGAAGGAACGCCGGUGGCGAAGGCGGCCAACUGGACCAGCACUGACGCUGAGGCGCGAAAGCGUGGGGAGCAAACAGG